RNAcentral lists this ribosomal RNA (283 nucleotides) under uncultured bacterium. RNAcentral describes it as "partial 16S ribosomal RNA". It matches the Rfam family "Bacterial small subunit ribosomal RNA", at positions 30 to 313 of the family's 1533-position model. The record is from RNAcentral.
AUUGAACGCUGGCGGCAUGCCUUACACAUGCAAGUCGAACGGCAGCACGGGAGCAAUCCUGGUGGCGAGUGGCGAACGGGUGAGUAAUAUAUCGGAACGUGCCCAGUCGUGGGGAUAACGUAGCGAAAGCUACGCUAAUACCGCAUACGAUCUACGGAUGAAAGCGGGGGAUCGCAAGACCUCGCGCGAUUGGAGCGGCCGAUAUCAGAUUAGGUAGUUGGUGGGGUAAAGGCUCACCAAGCCAACGAUCUGUAGCUGGUCUGAGAGGACGACCAGCCCACAC